Molecule: unclassified non-coding RNA, 253 nt
Filed under: uncultured Moraxellaceae bacterium
Lineage: Bacteria; Pseudomonadati; Pseudomonadota; Gammaproteobacteria; Moraxellales; Moraxellaceae
Description: contains 16S-23S intergenic spacer region
Rfam family: Bacterial small subunit ribosomal RNA
Source: RNAcentral
UACAGAGGGUGCGAGCGUUAAUCGGAUUUACUGGGCGUAAAGCGUGCGUAGGCGGUAUUUUAAGUCGGAUGUGAAAUCCCUGAGCUUAACUUGGGAAUUGCAUUCGAUACUGGGAAGCUAGAGUAUGAGAGAGGAUGGUGGAUUUCCAGGUGUAGCGGUGAGAUGCGUAGAGAUCUGGAGGAAUACCGAUGGCGAAGGCAGCCAUCUGACCUAAUACAGACGCUGAGGUACGAAAGCAUGGGGAGCAAACAGG